AGUCAUUUUGUAAUAUUUCAAAACAAUAGCUUGUAAUCUAAUAGUAAAUGAAGGGUUCACAUCUGUCCUUGUCUUUAACAGAGCUCCAGCUGGGGGACUAUAUGGACUCUACGUAUUAGAAUAUCUUGGUAAAUAAGCUAGCUCCAGCUGGGGGACUAUAUGGACUCUACGUAUUAGAAUAUCUUGGUAAAUAAGCUCAAUUUUACCUAUCCAUUUUUAGGUACGGUUUUAGAUUAUCUCAUGUUAUAUUUCGUUACAGUAGAUGAGUACUGUUGACCCUUUUCGAAAGCAAAUAGAUAUGGUUGGAUAAGCAAAGAUGUAUACUUUUCUUACUCAUGAAUGUUGCAGGGUGGAAUGUUAAAGCAUUGAAAAUACCUGUUGUGUAUUGGAUCAGGUUCACUAGGCUUUACUAAAAUCUCAGCAGAAACAAUACAGAGAAAAAUAAGUAAAAGAAGAGCCAUCAAUAAACUGCUGCCGCGGCCAGCACCAUCACCACCCAUAACUCCAGUGUUACUAUCUCAAAUUUUCCCGUCUUUGAUCUUCAAUGCACAUUUGUGAAUCAGAGGAACACACCCAACACCAAAAUUUCCUUCUGUUCUUGGGAUGCUCUUAAAUGGAUAUUUUUUAUUUGCCUAAGAUUAAUAUAUAGCAUGAAAAAGUUAAAGUUGGUUAUAUCCAAAGACCAAAAGCAACAAAAGGGAAAGGUAAUUUGAAGAUGUGGGGUAAAAAGUGAAGAGAAUUAGGCGCAGGUAUAGGCUGACAACAGUUUAUAAUAAAGUAAGAUGUCCAAUUAUUUAUCACCUCGGUAGUGCAGGUAUAACAUUGCCAAGGGGACAUAGAAAGUUCAGCACAUAAAAUUAAUCCAUAAUUUCUACUGUGUAUUGUUUUUUCCCCAAAGAGCUUAAAGGGUUAAACUACCAAGUUUAAAAUGCUGACGAAAAUUCAGGUUAAACUCAUCAUAUUGGACAUUCAUGAUUGCUGGCAUUGAAAAGGUGAUUUGGACGCAAGAAGGAGCCAUCAAAUUCAAAAUCAUUGCAAGAGCAAAUCAAAGAAAAUUUUGUUCUUUAUUCCAGAAAUAAUUUGAAUAUACUUGACGUCUUUGUAUUUUCUCCAAAGAAUCUGUAAAGGGAAUUUCCUGAAAAGAAGUGCAGGCAAAAGAAAUCGU
Solanum lycopersicum (tomato) is the source of this 1165-nucleotide non-coding RNA. The record is from RefSeq and is a predicted model, not a curated record. Lineage: Eukaryota; Viridiplantae; Streptophyta; Magnoliopsida; Solanales; Solanaceae.